RNAcentral lists this ribosomal RNA (447 nucleotides) under uncultured bacterium. Its description in RNAcentral is "bacterial SSU rRNA". It matches the Rfam family "Bacterial small subunit ribosomal RNA", at positions 330 to 792 of the family's 1533-position model. The record is from RNAcentral.
GCCAGACUCCUACGGGAGGCAGCAGUGGGGAAUAUUGCACAAUGGGGGAAACCCUGAUGCAGCGACGCCGCGUGAGUGAGGAAGUAUUUCGGUAUGUAAAGCUCUAUCAGCAGGGAAGAAAAAAUGACGGUACCUGACUAAGAAGCACCGGCUAAAUACGUGCCAGCAGCCGCGGUAAUACGUAUGGUGCAAGCGUUAUCCGGAUUUACUGGGUGUAAAGGGAGCGCAGGCGGUACGGCAAGUCUGAUGUGAAAGCCCGGGGCUCAACCCCGGUACUGCAUUGGAAACUACCGGACUGGAGCGUCGGAGGGGUAAGUGGAAUUCCUAGUGUAGCGGUGAAAUGCGUAGAUAUUAGGAGGAACACCAGUGGCGAAGGCGGCUUACUGGACUGUAACUGACACUGGGGCUCGAAAGCGUGGGGAGCAAACAGGAUUAGAUACCCUCGUA